RNAcentral lists this unclassified non-coding RNA (418 nucleotides) under Hevea brasiliensis (rubber tree). The record is from RNAcentral. Lineage: Eukaryota; Viridiplantae; Streptophyta; Magnoliopsida; Malpighiales; Euphorbiaceae.
GAUAUUAGUUUAAAAGGGGGGAGGUGGAGGAGCAGGAGGAAGUGGUGUUAGGGUGUCUUUUACAGCAACUUAGUAAUAAUAGGUCCGAUGGUAAUGUGGUUUUUAAUGGGCUUAUGGUUUAAAUGGGUUUUUUUUAUGUAUUUUUAUUUUUCAAAAAUUAAGUUUUAAAUAUAUAUUACUUUUGUAUUGAAUAAAUAAUUAUUCAUAAUAAAUUUAUAGAAUUCAAUUUAAAUGAUUUUAAGUUAUAUUUAGUAAGGUAUUAGUAAAUUAAAUAUAUAAUAAAAAUUAAAAUUAUAAUGCAACAGAAAAUUAAGAUGAUCAUUUUAAUAUUAUAUUCGAUUAAAAAUAAAUUAAUGUAAUGUAUUUUAAUGAUAAUUUUCAUUCAUACAUGUAAUUUAAUUGACAAUGGUGGUAGUGC